Molecule: ribosomal RNA, 440 nt
Filed under: uncultured bacterium
Lineage: Bacteria
Description: partial 16S ribosomal RNA
Rfam family: Bacterial small subunit ribosomal RNA
Source: RNAcentral
CCUACGGGUGGCUGCAGUGGGGAAUAUUGCACAAUGGGGGGAACCCUGAUGCAGCGACGCCGCGUGGGUGAGGAAGUACUUCGGUAUGUAAAGCCCUAUCAGCAGGGAAGAAAAUGACGGUACCUGACUAAGAAGCCCCGGCUAACUACGUGCCAGCAGCCGCGGGAAUACGGAGGGGGCAAGCGUUAUCCGGAUUUAAUGGGUGUAAAGGGAGCGUAGACGGCGUGCCAAGUCUGGUGUGAAAGGCUGGGGCUUAACCCCGGGACUGCAUUGGAAACUGGCAUGCUGGAGGGGCGGAGGGGCAAGCGGAAUGCCUGGUGUAGCGGUGAAAUGCGUAGAUAUUAGGAGGAACACCGGUGGCGAAGGCGGCUUGCUGGACGGUAACUGACGUUGAGGCUCGAAAGCGUGGGGAGCGAACAGGAUUAGAUACCCCUGUAGUC